GAUCUCUAUCUUCUGUCGACCUUUG
RNAcentral lists this small RNA (25 nucleotides) under Arabidopsis thaliana (thale cress). RNAcentral's name for it is "ATSL071260". The record is from RNAcentral. Lineage: Eukaryota; Viridiplantae; Streptophyta; Magnoliopsida; Brassicales; Brassicaceae.